Molecule: ribosomal RNA, 497 nt
Filed under: uncultured bacterium
Lineage: Bacteria
Description: partial 16S ribosomal RNA
Rfam family: Bacterial small subunit ribosomal RNA
Source: RNAcentral
GAUGAACGCUGGCGGCGUGCCUAAUACAUGCAAGUCGAGCGAACGGACGAGAAGCUUGCUUCUCUGAUGUUAGCGGCGGACGGGUGAGUAACGCGUGGAUAACCUACCUAUAAGACUGGGAUAACUUCGGGAAACCGGAGCUAAUACCGGAUAAUAUUUUGAACCGCAUGGUUCAAAAGUGAAAGACGGUCUUGCUGUCACUUAUAGAUGGAUCCGCGCUGCAUUAGCUAGUUGGUAAGGUAACGGCUUACCAAGGCAACGAUGCAUAGCCGACCUGAGAGGGUGAUCGGCCACACUGGAACUGAGACACGGUCCAGACUCCUACGGGAGGCGGCAGUAGGGAAUCUUCCGCAAUGGGCGAAAGCCUGACGGAGCAACGCCGCGUGAGUGAUGAAGGUCUUCGGAUCGUAAAACUCUGUUAUUAGGGAAGAACAUAUGUGUAAGUAACUGUGCACAUCUUGACGGUACCUAAUCAGAAAGCCACGGCUAACUACGUG